RNAcentral lists this ribosomal RNA (200 nucleotides) under uncultured bacterium. Its description in RNAcentral is "partial 16S ribosomal RNA". It matches the Rfam family "Bacterial small subunit ribosomal RNA", at positions 28 to 241 of the family's 1533-position model. The record is from RNAcentral.
GAUGAACGCUAGCGGCAGGCUUAAUACAUGCAAGGCUAGGGGGCAGCAAUGUCACCGUCGAACGGGUGCGUAACGCGUAUGCAACCUACCUAUCACUGGGGGAUAGCCCGGGGAAACCCGGAUUAAUACCCCAUAAGAUAGUAGAUAGGCAUCUAUCAGCCAUUAAAACUCCGGUGGUUUGAGAUGGGCAUGCGCGACAU